AGAGCGCUCCUCCCUCUCUCCCCAAGGGGCCGCAGCGCUUCUGGGAGCAGCACGGGGCCAAGGACAGGGCAGGCAUGUAGGGAGCCUGCCCUGGCACCGGUGCGCGCCGCUGCAACCCCGGAGCCGCUUGAGCUUCAUGGAUGUCCCAGAGCAGAUGUGAGAGAUAGGCAGAUGACAUCCACAGGAGUGGAAUGGCUGACAAAAUUGAGCUCCAUCCAUGAAGAGCAGGGAGGAUUUAUUCCUGGAUAUGCACAGAGAAAUGAAUAAGGAUUUGGACUGAAGAUGUGAGUUCUGGCUCCAGUAGAGGCUGGCAUCUGAAGACAACCAUUUUGAGAGAAGAAUGUCUGGAUCUCACACACAAUAAACUGAUUCUAAUGAAGCUGUCAUGGUUAAUGUUGCCAAGCCAUGAACACAAAAAAAGCUUGCAGAAGAAAAGCAGAUCUGCCCCACUACCAAGGAAGAUGCUGCUCUAAUGGCCAAACAAAAAUUUGGAGGGGAAUGCAAAUACAAGUGUAUAGGAAAUACAGUUUGUAACAGCAGCUGAUUUGCUUGAAAUCAACAUAUUUCUGCAAUGAAAUAUUCCCAAAAGAAAAAUUAUACAAAUUUAUAUAAGGAUAGGGUGACCAGACAGCAAGUGUGAAAAAUCGGGACGGGGGUUGGGGAUAAUAGGAGCCAAUAUAAGAAAAAGCCCCAAAUAUUGGGACUGUCCCUACAAAAUCGGGACAUCAGGUCACCCUGUAUAAGGAAAACAGACUGUAGAUUGGCCAUUACCUACCGGCUAGUAUGCAUGGAAUGCAGAGUUAAGCAUUUUGAAUGGCUAACAAUUUUCACAAAACAGGAUCCUUUGGGUACCUGGUGCAACUCCUUAUUUGUCUGGACAGUACCAAGUACACUUUCACAGCUCAAUAAACAAACAAUAAUUGAAAACACAUCCAUUAAUCUAUUAUCUGAAUUUCAUUUAUUUUCAGUUAACACAAGCAGAUCCCAGAUGAUCAUAAAUGACAGUGCAAUGGGGUGCAUAAACCCAUGUCAGGGAUUAGUACAUACAGAAGUGGCAGGAAAUGGACUAUCUGGGUUCAGUUGCAGCUGCUGCAAUAGAAGACUUAACUUUCAUGGUCAAAGGGAGGCUGAGAAGGAAAUUCUUUCUAAGAGUCCUGCUGGAUGGUCUGAGAUCUCUGUGAGCCAAAGGAGCUUGCAAGUCACUGAGUCAGAGAGAUCAAUACAUUCAAAAGACAAACUCCACCCCUGGUUAGCAGGUUGUGUUUUUCACUGGCACUGGCUAAGCAAGCUUUAUUUUAUAAGGCUAUAAUAAAGCACAAGGUACUUUUAUACUGGGACUUUUGAGGAUACAAUGAAUUAUGGUGUGCUGGAAGCUUGGGAAGGAUGAAUUAACUUUGGACAAAGAGACUCCCCUUCCUUUUACCCCAUAAGGAAGCUAUGAUUCUGAAUAUGGACUGAACACAUUUUACAUGGUACACCUCUACCCCAAUAUAAUGCGACCCGAUAUAACACAAAUUCGAAUAUAACACGGUAAAGCAGUGCUCAGGGGGGGCAGGGCUGCGCACUCCG
This is a long non-coding RNA of Chrysemys picta bellii (western painted turtle), 1569 nucleotides long. RefSeq lists it as uncharacterized. The record is from RefSeq and is a predicted model, not a curated record. NCBI's taxonomy places the organism in Eukaryota, Metazoa, Chordata, Testudines, Emydidae.